Molecule: transfer RNA, 69 nt
Organism: Felis catus (domestic cat)
Lineage: Eukaryota; Metazoa; Chordata; Mammalia; Carnivora; Felidae
Rfam family: tRNA
About the family: Transfer RNA (tRNA) molecules are approximately 80 nucleotides in length.
Source: Rfam
GUAAAUAUAGUUUAAUAAAAACAUUAGAUUGUGAAUCUAAUAAUGGAAGUGCAAGUCUUCUUAUUUACC